UCUAUGAGUCGACCCCUACUGAGCAAUAGAUGCAGAUAGAGAACUAUUUUUUUAGAACUCCUGACAGAGUUGACCACUGAAGAAUUGAAGUCGACCUCAAAGUAAAUGGAGUUGAACCUAGAGGAAUUGGAGUCGACCCCAAAGUAAGAUUAAGAGAUUAGAAAGAGAAAAUUAGUUUGAAUUAAUUGAAAGCUUCAUUGCACAUCUUUAGAGAAGAUGAUGAAAGAUAGAAGAAUCAAGCACUAAAUUUAAAGGAUCAUUAAGAAUUAUUUUUUCUUU
RNAcentral lists this long non-coding RNA (279 nucleotides) under Elaeis guineensis (African oil palm). RNAcentral describes it as "long non-coding RNA (EGUI_LNC029068)". Lineage: Eukaryota; Viridiplantae; Streptophyta; Magnoliopsida; Arecales; Arecaceae. The record is from RNAcentral.